Molecule: long non-coding RNA, 868 nt
Filed under: Sparus aurata (gilthead seabream)
Lineage: Eukaryota; Metazoa; Chordata; Actinopteri; Spariformes; Sparidae
Description: lncRNA (ENSSAUG00010010151.1)
Source: RNAcentral
GAACUUUUCAUCUUGAACUUCUUCUUUUUCUUCCUCGGCAAGCCCUCUUCGGAGAAAGUUCAGAUCUGAUUGUAGUAUUGAUUGUAUCUUCUGUCUUCUGGAGUCAGAAAUCCUCCUCACGGGUUCGUGUCGGUCAUGUGACACACUUCUGGUCAUGUGCCUUCAAACCAGGAAGUGGAUGUUCCUGCCUGCUUGCGCUCACCUGUUGAACUCCAGGCUCCGUCUGCAGACAUCAACUGAAGAUGUUUCGACCUUCACACAUCGGACCAAAAAGUUACGAGACAGGAGAGCCGAGCCGGAGGAGGAAGAGGAGCGUGAGAGCACAAGAACGGACGUCCAGACUUAUUCUGAAGGGACUUUUAAAGGAAACGGCUUCGACAUUGAAAAGAACAGUAAGUGUGGAGUCACGGGGCACCCUCGCACGUCUUCAAGGUCUUUGACGGAUGUCAUUCACACCCACACCUACACAAACACACACACACACACUUACAAACGGUCCGUAAAUGUCAAGGAGAGGCUCCUGACAUCUAACACUCGUCCAUUUCCUGCUCCUGACAGGAAGUUCAACAGCUCAACGAGACAAAAGAAACCAAAAACGCCCUGUUUGUCAUGUUUUUCUGAGCCCAUCAGGCCUCAGCAACAUCAUUACUGUCCGUGUUUGUGUGUUGUGCAGUGUGGGAGCUGUAACUCUGUCCUGUCUCACAGUUUCGUCCCAACAAAACAAUGCCCGUCUUUGUUCGGCCUGGUGUUGCUCGACUUCUAUUGUUUAGUUUUUGCUGGUUGUGUAUUUGUGUAUGUGUGUGUUGUGUGUGUGUGUGUGUGUGUGGCCUUUUCUCACACUCGCUCACGCACAGUGAGAUUUUACUGA